RNAcentral lists this unclassified non-coding RNA (253 nucleotides) under uncultured Bacteroidota bacterium. RNAcentral describes it as "uncultured Bacteroidetes bacterium contains 16S-23S intergenic spacer region". It matches the Rfam family "Bacterial small subunit ribosomal RNA", at positions 524 to 776 of the family's 1533-position model. The record is from RNAcentral. Lineage: Bacteria; Pseudomonadati; Bacteroidota.
UACGGAGGGUGCAAGCGUUGUCCGGAAUCAUUGGGUGUAAAGGGUGCGUAGGCGGAAGCCUAAGUCGGAGGUGAAAUCUUGCCGCUUAACGGUAAAAUGGCCUUCGAUACUGGGUUUCUUGAGUUCGGAAGAGGUUAGUGGAAUUCGUGGUGUAGCGGUGAAAUGCAUAGAUAUCACGAAGAACACCAGUGGCGAAGGCGACUGACUGGUCCGAUACUGACGCUGAGGCACGAGAGCGUGGGGAGCGAACAGG